This 500-nucleotide ribosomal RNA is filed under the name uncultured bacterium. Its description in RNAcentral is "partial 16S ribosomal RNA". It matches the Rfam family "Bacterial small subunit ribosomal RNA", at positions 30 to 523 of the family's 1533-position model. The record is from RNAcentral.
AUUGAACGCUGGCGGCAGGCCUAACACAUGCAAGUCGAGCGGUAGAGAGAAGCUUGCUUCUCUUGAGAGCGGCGGACGGGUGAGUAAUGCCUAGGAAUCUGCCUGGUAGUGGGGGAUAACGUUCGGAAACGGACGCUAAUACCGCAUACGUCCUACGGGAGAAAGCAGGGAACCUUCGGGCCUUGCGCUAUCAGAUGAGCCUAGGUCGGAUUAGCUAGUUGGUGAGGUAAUGGCUCACCAAGGCGACGAUCCGUAACUGGGCUGAGAGGAUGAUCAGUCACACUGGAACUGAGACACGGUCCAGACUCCUACGGGAGGCAGCAGUGGGGAAUAUUGGACAAUGGGCGAGAGACUGAUCCAGCCAUGCCGCGUGUGUGAAGAAGGUCUUCGGAUUGUAAAGCACUUUAAGUUGGGAGGAAGGGUUGUAGAUUAAUACUCUGCAAUUUUGACGUUACCGACAGAAUAAGCACCGGCUAACUCUGUGCCAGCCGCCGCAGUAA